CCACAUAAAGUGGGUAUGCCACUUUAAGAGAAGAGGUUAAGGAAGCUGGGUGGUCUGCCUGGCCAAUGAGAAGUUUGGUUUCCAGAGCGUCUGGACCAAUCAGGGUGCAGGCUGCCGUUGUGGAUCCCGCCCUUCUCCCCCGGGUCUGCAGUACCGUUGGUUUUGCUCUAGAGAUCCGACGCGGUGAGACUGCUGAGCGGGGCAGCGCCAGAGUAUGUAUCCCGACAGUUAAAAGUAUUUUUUACGUGCUGUAUUAACUGUAUUGUGGAUAAACUCUUUUGUAAAUAGAUUUUAUGUUGAUUGUCCAGCUUUUGUGCUGGAAAUUAUUUAUUAAAUGAAUACAAACUGAACUUCAGUUUUUUACCGUUAGAGCCGUUAGGAAUCGUUGGCUCUUUCUGGCAGUUAUUUCAGCUUGUUCUUCGUAGAUAAAAGUGCCCCACGCAUCCGGAUUGAGACCCACUAUACGGUUGUCUGAAGUGUGUCGCACUGAGAUCGGUCAGGUUUUUUUUUAUACUGGAUCAUUCCUGAAGUGGAUCCCUCCUUUGAUAUUGAUGGCGAGCCUUCCCACCUGGACCUAAAGAGAGAACCAGAUUUCGUCUAUCCCAUUUGGAGUCAUGCUGCACCCUGCGGUGUGGUAGGAGAGCAACAUACAUCUUCACACACGGUUAUGUGUGAAACCUACAACUGACAUUCUCCAUUAUUAUUGUUUCUUUUAUUUAUUGAUUUUUGGACAAUACUGUUUGGAUUGUUUUAUUUCGGACAUUGUGACGCACAGCUGUGGUGGAAAUUCUCCUGUGAAUGAAGUUGAAUCAAACCAAAUUGGGAUUAAUUUGAUUAAUCUGCUGACUAAUACAAUUUGGAGUGCAGAUUACCAGGGUGCACCCGAAUUAUUUGAAAUUAAGAAUUAGCACUUGGCCAAGUAUUAUUGUUAUUUCUUUUUUUUUUUCAUUUUAUUGUGUGUAAUUUUAUUUUCAUAAUUGUGUGUUUUGUGCAACUGUUAAUUGUGUGUUUUCUGUCACUAAAACCAGUUCUUUAAAUACACCCAACUGCCCUUGUGUGUCAUUUAAACACUCCACUGUGCUCCGAUAGCCGAACCUAUUGGCCCAUUUAUCCAAAAUAUAUGUAAUACCCUUCUCUACUGUG
Long non-coding RNA from Xiphophorus hellerii (green swordtail), 1143 nucleotides. RefSeq lists it as uncharacterized. The record is from RefSeq and is a predicted model, not a curated record. NCBI's taxonomy places the organism in Eukaryota, Metazoa, Chordata, Actinopteri, Cyprinodontiformes, Poeciliidae. The transcript has 3 exons.